AAUCCAGACUCCUACGGGAGGCAGCAGUGGGGAAUAUUGCACAAUGGGGGAAACCCUGAUGCAGCAACGCCGCGUGAGUGAAGAAGUCAUUCGUGAUGUAAAGCUCUAUCAGCAGGGAAGAAAAUGACGGUACCUGAGUAAGAAGCCCCGGCUAACUACGUGCCAGCAGCCGCGGUAAUACGUAGGGGGCAAGCGUUAUCCGGAUUUACUGGGUGUAAAGGGAGCGUAGACGGCGACGCAAGUCUGGAGUGAAAGCCCGGGGCCCAACCCCGGGACUGCUCUGGAAACUGCGUCGCUGGAGUACGGGAGGGGCAGGCGGAAUUCCUGGUGUAGCGGUGAAAUGCGUAGAUAUUAGGAGGAACACCAGUGGCGAAGGCGGCUUGCUGGACAGUAACUGACGUUGAGGCUCGAAAGCGUGGGGAGCAAACAGGAUUAGAUACCCCAGUA
This 447-nucleotide ribosomal RNA is filed under the name uncultured bacterium. RNAcentral's name for it is "bacterial SSU rRNA". It matches the Rfam family "Bacterial small subunit ribosomal RNA", at positions 328 to 792 of the family's 1533-position model. The record is from RNAcentral.